CUCUCGGUAGCCAAGUUGGUUUAAGGCGCAAGACUGUAAUUUAUCAAAACGAAAUCUUGAGAUCGGGCGUUCGACUCGCCCCCGGGAGA
RNAcentral lists this transfer RNA (89 nucleotides) under Saccharomyces cerevisiae (brewer's yeast). It matches the Rfam family "tRNA". Rfam says of the family: Transfer RNA (tRNA) molecules are approximately 80 nucleotides in length. Their secondary structure includes four short double-helical elements and three loops (D, anti-codon, and T loops). Lineage: Eukaryota; Fungi; Ascomycota; Saccharomycetes; Saccharomycetales; Saccharomycetaceae. The record is from RNAcentral.